RNAcentral lists this ribosomal RNA (253 nucleotides) under uncultured bacterium. RNAcentral's name for it is "partial 16S ribosomal RNA". It matches the Rfam family "Bacterial small subunit ribosomal RNA", at positions 524 to 776 of the family's 1533-position model. The record is from RNAcentral.
UACGUAGGGGGCAAGCGUUGUCCGGAUUUAUUGGGCGUAAAGGGCUCGUAGGCGGUUUGUCGCGUCGGGAGUGAAAACACCGGGCUUAACUCGGUGCUUGCUUCCGAUACGGGCAGACUAGAGGCAUGCAGGGGAGAACGGAAUUCCUGGUGUAGCGGUGAAAUGCGCAGAUAUCAGGAGGAACACCGGUGGCGAAGGCGGUUCUCUGGGCAUGUCCUGACGCUGAGGAGCGAAAGCGUGGGGAGCGAACAGG